UUCAAUGAAAUAUGCAAAGUUGAUUAUGUCAAUAACAAUUUAGCUGAGUCAUUCAAUUCCAAAAUUAAGAAGUGGAAGGGGAUACACAUUGUGGACUUGCUUGACAAAAUUAGGCAGUUCAUAAUGGAAAAGUUUGACUUGAGACAGCAGAUUGCAGCUGGGACAUACAAUGGGCACAUCAUAAUCCCAAAAAUCAUGAUUAUGCUUCAUGCAAAAUCAAAAGACCUUGAUAUGUCCAUAGUGAAAAGAAGCACAUUAAAGGCAGAGAUUACUGCAAUUGACAAGGAAAAAAGAGAGUGGAGAUAUCCUGUUAAUUUGCAAACACAUACUUGUAGUUGUAGAAAGUGGCAAAUAACAGGACAACCAUGCAUACAUGCAUUGUACUUUAUCACUUCAAUGAGAGGUCCAGUUAGUGAGAUUGAUCAGUAUGUUCAUGAGUAUUUCUCUGUGGCAAAAUUCAAGGCUACUUAUGCUGAUAAUCUGCCACUUCUGGAGGGCAAGCAACAAUGGGAUGUUGUAGACCCAGGAUUUAAACUGAGUGCUCCAUUGCAAAAUAGGCCACCUGGUAGACCUAGGAAGACAAGAAUUAGGGCUAAAUCAGAG
This 603-nucleotide ribosomal RNA is filed under the name Triticum aestivum (bread wheat). Its description in RNAcentral is "partial small subunit ribosomal RNA". The record is from RNAcentral. Lineage: Eukaryota; Viridiplantae; Streptophyta; Magnoliopsida; Poales; Poaceae.